Molecule: RNA transcript, 4567 nt
Organism: Acipenser ruthenus (sterlet)
Lineage: Eukaryota; Metazoa; Chordata; Actinopteri; Acipenseriformes; Acipenseridae
Gene: cars2
Gene name: cysteinyl-tRNA synthetase 2, mitochondrial
Exons: 17
Source: RefSeq, a predicted model, not a curated record
ACUUGAAUUAUUUAAGUGUUUUCACAGUCUUACACCUAACAUGAGUAAUAUGUUACUACACCUAUGCGUAUUUCAUUAAACAGAACCAAAUGUAAAAGCACCAAACCGGGAAUUACAAUAAUAAAGCCAAUCAAAACAACAGUUACCGUUCUGAAUUGGCCAUAGCUAACGUUUUCUAACCAAUCAGAGUGGAAGGGAAGGGGCGGCUUUAAUGGGCAUGCGCUGUAUCGUAGCAACAUGAGAGACAGAGGAAUGUUUAUACUGUUGAGCACAUUUAAAGUUACGUAAACAGCAGAUGUAGAGUGAAUUAUGAUCAGUCCGUUAAAUGAAAUCGAUUAGUAAACUAGAAUCAGUAAGCUAGUAUAAGUCGCAUUAAAGACGUUUCCACACGUUGUAGUUAUAACCCCUUGCAGCCGCAGCGGCCAUUGAGUGUGUGACGCAGGAGAGUAGUUACGUAUUUCAAUCAGCUAGCGGCGGUCGCCGUUGCUGAGUUUGUUGUUUGUAAAACGUGAGAGAGUAUACCGGAUAUUCAUGGGAGGAGCUGUAAGCCAUCCUGCUAUUUUUUUGUUGUUUAAUUUUUUUAUUAUUAUUUUAAAGCGCUUCGUAUAGUGAAAAGGCUACAAUAUAACAUUUUUUUCUGUAUACUUGUCAAUGACGACUAUAAUGUGGUGAGACAGGUCUGAGUUAUAUAUAAAAUCCAUUCUAAGUCUAAUACAGACUACUACGCCACUUGUAUACUUAUAUAACACAUACAAAUUACGUCGGACAAUAUUCGUAAUUCAGUUUUUUGUGAAACAUCACUGUGAUUCCUGAAGCACAGGCUAUGUUAAACAUAAAUAUAACUACAUUUUUACUAAUGUGUUUUAUUGCCUUGUUCAUAUACUAAAAACAAUGCUGAUCGAUGACAUUGCAAUGCCCGAAUGUUCAUUAAGGUGCUUUUUAUUUUACUGCCUUGGCAUGUUCUCUGUCUUGCAGAAUCAGGGGUCCAUCUUUGUAACCGGCUUUGUUGAAGGACUUGCCCCUCCUCUUCCUGGUUCUCUGCUUGUAUGGUUUACGACUGUUCUGUGUAGUCAGACUACAGCCAGAAACCGAUUGUCCUCUUCUCAUACCCUCCUAAAUGUGUGACAGAUUUAACCCCGCCCAUUGUACUGAAGGAAACUGGCCUUAGCGAGUGCUGCCGGAACUUGAGGGACAAGAUCAGAAUGUGGAGACUGCACGCUUUGAGUUCUGGUUAUGUUUAACUAUUUCUGGUCCAUAUGUAGUCUGUGCUAAGGCUGUGAGUUCACUGUUGUUUAUACGAGUAAAUUCGAUCUAUUGCAGUGAAAAAAACGCUGCUAUAGCAUGAGAUGAGAGAGAAUUAGCUGUGUGUUUGUGGCUCUGUACAUAAGUGACCUAUGUUUGUACAAACACUGCAAUUUAAUUGUAACUGUUUUAUUUUUGUUUUUUUACCAGUCCAUAUUCAGAAAGUUAUUGUGAAUGAAGGAGACUAUGUUUUUUUAAAAAUCAGAAUGUGCAUAAUCAAUCAUUUGCUGCCUUUCUGGAGACUCACAAGCAAAACACGAGUGUUUGAGUUGUCAUCUUUCAAAGCAAGGACGUUCCAGAAAAUAAAUGUGCAAUGCUUUAACAAAGUGAACCAUUUAAGAUCCGACACGUUGUGUACAGGAUCCGAGAAGAAAUGGCAAAAACCAAUGGGAUUUGACACCGGCUUAAAGACAUAUAACAGCCUCACUAAAGGAAAAGAACCUCUAAUACUGGCAAAAGAAGGAAUUGCGACCUGGUAUAGCUGUGGUCCUACAGUAUAUGAUCAUGCCCAUCUUGGACAUGCUUGUUCCUAUGUUAGGUUUGAUAUUGUGCAAAGGAUUCUUACCAGAGUAUUUGGAAUCAAUGUUAUCCACGUGAUGGUCAUUACUGACAUUGAUGACAAGAUUAUUAAAAGAGCCUCUGAGUUAAACAUGUCUUCAACAGUUCUUGCUCGACUUUAUGAAGAGGAGUUUAAGAGUGAUAUGGCAGCGCUCAAGGUACUUCCUCCUACAGUUUAUAUGAGAGUUACUGAGAAUAUUCCACAAAUCAUUGCUUUUAUAGAAGGCAUAAUAAACAACCAGCAUGCUUAUGCAACACCCAAAGGCAGUGUCUAUUUUGACAUCAAGUCAAUUGGAAGUCGAUAUGGAAAGCUAAUGGGCGGGUUUGUUGACUCCGGAGGGGAGCUAGGUGACACAGGUGACACUGAUAAGCGAAAUGCCAGGGAUUUUGCCCUUUGGAAGGCAUCCAAGCCGCAGGAACCAUUCUGGGAGUCUCCAUGGGGAAAAGGAAGACCUGGCUGGCACAUUGAAUGCUCCACAAUAGCAAGCACUGUUUUUGGAAGUCAAUUGGAUAUUCAUUCUGGCGGGAUAGACCUUGCCUUUCCACAUCAUGAAAAUGAAAUUGCACAAUGUGAAGCUUAUCAUCAGUGUGCUCAAUGGGGAAACUACUUUCUGCACUCAGGACAUUUGCAUCUUAAAGGAAGUGAAGAGAAGAUGUCCAAAUCUUUAAAAAACUUCAUCACAAUAAAGGACUUUUUCCAGACAUUUUCAGCAAAUGAAUUCAGAAUGUUUUGCCUUCUUACCAAGUACAGAUCAGCAAUUGACUACAGCGAUGCCAGUAUGAAUGAAGCUAAAAGCGUUCUGAGUUCCAUCUCGUCAUUUUUCAGUGAUGCGGGUGCUUACAUGACAGGAAAAUUGUUGUGCCAGAGUGUUGAUGAAGGCUUUUUGUGGGAAAGGUUAGCGGCUGCAAAAGUGAAUGUUCAGACAGCACUGACAGAUGACUUUGACACCCCAAGGGCUAUUGAUGAAAUUAUGGGCCUCAUUCACCAUGGCAACCGGCAGCUUCAGGCUGUUACUAAGGGAGGUCAGUCUUCCAGAAGCCCAGCUGUGUUUGGAGCCAUUCUUUCUUACAUAGAGGGAUUCUUGGACACAGUGGGUGUUUCUGUAAAGGAGAAUACGUGUGUAACAGGAGAAAGUUCACAUGGCACUCUUCCUAGUGUUGUUGAACAGUUGGUGAGUUUUCGAAGCCAGGUUCGCAGUUAUGCCCUGGCUACCGAUGAACUUGCUCCAGUUUUAUCUGACUGCAGUCAGCUGUCCGAGGAGAGGAAGUCCCAGCUAAAGGAGCACAGGAAGCAGCAGAUACGGGAGCGGGAACCUCUUCUGAAGGCCUGUGAUGUCCUUCGGAGGGACCUCGCACCCCUUGGAAUUAACAUUAAGGACAGAGGUAACACCUCAACGUGGGAAAUAACAGAGAAGAGGACAGAGCUGCAAAAGGAAGAGGCAAACUAGUGCUAUACAGAAGUCCCAUUACAGCUGCAAUGCUCUGCACAUUAAAAACAAUUGACUGUGAAACCUUGGAUUUGUGUUUGACAAGAUAAGUCUGCAGUAUUUAUGUGAUUGUAAUCAGCCUUGUAAUGUUAAAAGCGCAGAAUAUAAAAUGUAUUGGUAAUCUUGUAAUUACUACACACAUAAAUGUUAAAAUAAUUAAAUACAGCACUUUCUUAGGCAAGGCAGGCAGUAAUUUGACAGUGCUUACAGAUAUUAAUUUCAAGAUUUCAUGUGUUUUUUUUUUUUAAUAUUUAUGCAAAGGAAAGAAUACUAGGUUGUCAAUCAACAGCUAGCCAUGCAAUAGCCAUGCCACGUCUUUUGGAAUUGUCUGAUAUGAAAUUAAGGAAUACACAACUCAUUUGGGGAUUGUACUUUUAGUGUGUUUUGCAAGGAUAGAAAAGUACAUCAUUGUUUCAGGUUGAGCAUGACAAGAUAGUUAAUGUAGUAGAACACAUGUAUGCUUUUAUUUACAAUACAGCCACUGUAGGAUACGCAUUACAUACAAUACUGUGUUUUCAUUUAUGUGUGUGUGUCUCUCUCUCUCUCUCUCUCUCUCUCUCUCUCUAUAUAUAUAUAUAUCUCAUAACCCAUUUCAGGAAGAAACUUAACAUUUUUAGUAUUGUGGAAAGUCUGCAGGCACCAUCUAAUGGCUUCUUUCUUUUUGACCUGUGACUGAAGAUGGCUACCAUAUCAGAGUCGUGACUGGUUAAUGUAUAAUAAAAAGAUUGCUCAGUGUGAAGGCCCUCUCGAUUACUGCAAGAGAAACACCAUUAGAUAUUCUCAGGACUGCCCAGUCCCUGACCACCUUCCGGCGCCUCCUCAAGACUCACCUCUUCAGACAGCACCUGUAGAACUCCUCUGUUUUUCCCCCUGGACACUUAUCACUCUUCCUUAAAUGUGCUUUACUUGCUCUUAUCUGCCCCCUAUUUUACUGCAUUUAAUCCUGUACUUUAGAUUACUGUAAUCUGUCAAGUGUUAUUUAAAGUAUUUUGUACUUAAUUAUAUCCUGAUGCAACUAUCACUGACACUGUUAUCUGCUCCAUUAUUGAACCGUAUUUUGUCAUACUUGUACUUGCUAGAACCAAAAUCAUUGUAUUUAUCUUGCUCUUAAUUGUAUUAUUACUUGUACUGUGAUUCUUGAAAUGUAUUUGUUUACGACUGUAAAUUGCCCUGGAUAAGGGCGUCUGCUAAGAAAUAAAUAAUAAGGUCGAAAAAGUCCA